Molecule: ribosomal RNA, 437 nt
Filed under: Pantoea agglomerans
Lineage: Bacteria; Pseudomonadati; Pseudomonadota; Gammaproteobacteria; Enterobacterales; Erwiniaceae
Description: bacterial SSU rRNA
Rfam family: Bacterial small subunit ribosomal RNA
Source: RNAcentral
CACAAGCGGUGGAGCAUGUGGUUUAAUUCGAUGCAACGCGAAGAACCUUACCUGGCCUUGACAUCCAGAGAACUUAGCAGAGAUGCUUUGGUGCCUUCGGGAACUCUGAGACAGGUGCUGCAUGGCUGUCGUCAGCUCGUGUUGUGAAAUGUUGGGUUAAGUCCCGCAACGAGCGCAACCCUUAUCCUUUGUUGCCAGCGGUUCGGCCGGGAACUCAAAGGAGACUGCCGGUGAUAAACCGGAGGAAGGUGGGGAUGACGUCAAGUCAUCAUGGCCCUUACGGCCAGGGCUACACACGUGCUACAAUGGCGCAUACAAAGAGAAGCGACCUCGCGAGAGCAAGCGGACCUCAUAAAGUGCGUCGUAGUCCGGAUUGGAGUCUGCAACUCGACUCCAUGAAGUCGGAAUCGCUAGUAAUCGUAGAUCAGAAUGCUACG